UAUAACCCCUUUAGUUUCAUUGCUGAUAUUUUUUACUUAUAAGAAACUUCUAUAUAAUGCGUAAUUACAAAUUGUGAGAGUUUAAGUUCUUAAGAAAAUUUAGGAAACGAAGCUUGAAUUCAGGGUAAACAGAGUGGAAACAUCUUCCCUCCAAGCAUGGCUUUGUAAGUGAUGGAUCAUGAGGUUGAAACUUGAAAUGCCUAGGAGAUAUGUGGUAUUUGUAGGAUAGAAGUAGGAUACGACAGUUUUAUCAAUGGUACUACUAAGCUGGUCCACAAAACGGUUAUGGCCUCUUCAUUCCUUAAUUUAAAGCCAAACCCUAUCAAAGAAACACUUGUAAGGCCAAGCGGAGAAAGAUAAAGAGAUUACCGUUAAAGAAGAGAGUGGUGAGAUGGUGAAGCGUGUCAUGCCAAUCUGGAGUGAUGGAGCUUCCCAAAAGCGGUUCACUUAUCGCCAACCAAGCCAUCAAGGUUUAGGGACAUGCGGAAUUUAGAUGAUCUCAUGUCUGUUUGGUUCCCCACAUAACCGCUUCUAUAGUAUAAAAAGUUGGAAAAUAUCAUCAUCCACUUGUCCAAUACUAUGAGUGAUUUUUGCAUCAUCGUCAAGAUCUAUAGUUCCACUUUUUCAUGACUUUUAUCUUUAAAAUAAAGAACCACGUAAGACAGGUAAUUGCAACGUACUUGUGCUUGGUUAUAAGAGCGACCACAUAAAAUUGGAGUGUUUCAAACGUCAAGUAUGCCUUCCUCAUGUUACCAAAUCUCUUCAAACCCAAACCACCCUAAACAAAACUACAAAAUAAAACCAGAGACAACAUUGAAUAUUCCUAAAAUUAACAUGAUAAUUACAAAUUUGCAACAAUUUGCUUCUAACUGACAUCACUUAGAAAUUUAAAUUUUUUUACUUGCUAUUUUUUCUUCAUUUGCUUGAUCAAAAUUCAUUACAUAAGAUCUGUAAUAUUACCUCAAGAUAACCAUGUCUGAAAAAGGCCGAUAGUCUGUGGAGACUUGUCAAAAGUAUCACAUUGACAAUUGUUGUAAGUAAUUCAAAGUAAGCAAUCAUUCAAAGUAAGAAAUUGAAAUACAACGACUCUCAUUCGGUCUUACUAUGUCCAAAGCGACGACCUCUUGUCUAAGUUGAAGUGGCGUCGUUACUUUUUAAUACAAAUAUAUCCAAUCUCCUGCAUUCAUCCAAGUUUACCUAAACCGAAAAUUAUAUUGAAAAUUCUCAGUGCUUAAAGUUUGUGUAAGUUUGUGUAAAGCAUUAGAAAAGGAGGUGGUGAAUCAAUGAUGAUAACUCAUAGAAUAAAGCAAACUACACGGAAACUACUACAGCCUUUACCUUAGCAAUGUUAUGGAGAGCUUCACAUGGAUAGUAGGAAACUCAGCUAUAUUGAUUAGAGAAGAAGUUAAUCAUAGGUGGCACUGUUGCUCUACAUUCCUGAAUAAAAAGGAACAAUUACAAAACAUGUUAUACUCGAAGUAAGAAAGCUCAACAUAUCAAUAGAUGGAAUUAUAUCAAUGAAUUUAUAGAUUGAUAGGUUAUAGUAAACAUAACUUUCAAAUCUUACAAUAAGUAUAUUAACUACAUGUUAGAAUGCAAAAGGCUUUAAUUAAUAAUUCGCAUUCCAUAUUCAUGUUACGAAUUAGGAUAUAUAGCAGCUUCUGAAGACAAACCAACUGUUACAAGAGCAAAACCAAUUAAUUAUACAACCCUAUAGCUAAAAACAAUUGAUCAAAGGUGGUUUUACUAAGGGAAAUCGAAAACCCCUCGCAAAUGCUAAGAUGACCUCGUUUCAUAUAUAUGAUUAUUUAUUUCCCAUAUUUUUUAUUACUUAAAAGAAAAUUUCAUGUUUUUAAAUAUGAUUGGUGCCCCAUACAAUUUUCUUCCCUAGAUCCACCACUGCCAACCGUUAUUGGUAAUCCAUUCGAGCAAUUCUUCAAGUUAGAUGCAAAAUGUAAAAUCAAAUCCGGUCAUAGUUUAAGCAUUUGAAUCUUUUUUAAAAGGUUAUCUUCAGUGUUUUUGGGAGAAACUGCAGUUUAGUGAUAAUUAUGAGAAUCCAAUAAGAUACAAAAAGUCAGUUUCGAAUGUUAUUUGUUCACCCAAAAAAGGCACAAGUGUUACCUUUAAUGUUUCAAAAGGAUGAUGAUUUUCUGAUAGCUUCUAGUUCUUUGGGGAACAUUUCGUUUAUCUUAGUGAAUGUAGGCGGAUAUAAGUGGGCAUCCAUAUCCAUUAACUGCAGAAAUAAUAAAAACUCUUAGUAGAAUUCAAGGAGAUACAUGGGAGAAAAUUAUAUUUGUUGAAUGUCUUACCUUAGUACUUAUUUCCAAUCACCAUGUCCACAUCAAAACAAGUGAAAAAAAACACAUGCCUUAAGACUGGACAAAUCUUAUACGG
This 2394-nucleotide long non-coding RNA is filed under the name Arabidopsis lyrata. RNAcentral describes it as "long non-coding RNA (ALYR_LNC000962)". Lineage: Eukaryota; Viridiplantae; Streptophyta; Magnoliopsida; Brassicales; Brassicaceae. The record is from RNAcentral.